Molecule: ribosomal RNA, 491 nt
Filed under: uncultured bacterium
Lineage: Bacteria
Description: bacterial SSU rRNA
Rfam family: Bacterial small subunit ribosomal RNA
Source: RNAcentral
UAGAGUUUGAUCAUGGCUCAGAUUGAABGCUGGCGGCAGGCCUAACACAUGCAAGUCGAACGGUAGCACAGAGAGCUUGCUCUCGGGUGACGAGUGGCGGACGGGUGAGUAAUGUCUGGGAAACUGCCCGAUGGAGGGGGAUAACUACUGGAAACGGUAGCUAAUACCGCAUAACGUCUACGGACCAAAGUGGGGGACCUUCGGGCCUCACACCAUCGGAUGUGCCCAGAUGGGAUUAGCUAGUAGGUGGGGUAAUGGCUCACCUAGGCGACGAUCCCUAGCUGGUCUGAGAGGAUGACCAGCCACACUGGAACUGAGACACGGUCCAGACUCCUACGGGAGGCAGCAGUGGGGAAUAUUGCACAAUGGGCGCAAGCCUGAUGCAGCCAUGCCGCGUGUAUGAAGAAGGCCUUCGGGUUGUAAAGUACUUUCAGUGGGGAGGAAGGCGAUGGAGUUAAUAACUUCAUCGAUUGACGUUACCCGCAGAAGAA